GACGAACGCUGGCGGCGUGCUUAACACAUGCCAGUCGAACGAUGAAGAAGAGAAACGCGAACUUCGGUUCAAAUUUCACUUCGGAUUAGUGGCAGACGGGUGAGUAACGCGUGAGCAACCUACCUCUUACAAAGGGAUAGCCUCGGGAAACCGUGAUUAAUACCAUAUGACACAUUCAUAAGGCAUCUUAAGAAUGUUAAAGCUACGGCGGUAAGAGAUGGGCUCGGGUCCCAUUAGCUAGUUGGUGAGGUAACGGCCCACCAAGGCGACGAUGGGUAACCGGCCUGAGAGGGUGAACGGUCACAUUGGAACUGAGACACGGUCCAAACUCCUACGGGAGGCAGCAGUGGGGAAUAUUGCACAAUGGAGGGAACUCUGAUGCAGCGACGCCGCGUGAGCGAUGAAGGAAUUCGUUUCGUAAAGCUCUGUUCUAUGGGAAGAAAAGGACUGUACCAUAGGAGAAAGCCCCGGCUAAAUACGUG
This 482-nucleotide ribosomal RNA is filed under the name uncultured bacterium. RNAcentral's name for it is "partial 16S ribosomal RNA". It matches the Rfam family "Bacterial small subunit ribosomal RNA", at positions 28 to 507 of the family's 1533-position model. The record is from RNAcentral.